Molecule: ribosomal RNA, 983 nt
Filed under: Triticum aestivum (bread wheat)
Lineage: Eukaryota; Viridiplantae; Streptophyta; Magnoliopsida; Poales; Poaceae
Description: partial small subunit ribosomal RNA
Source: RNAcentral
UUUAUUAAUGUCGGUGGCGAGUUUUUUUCUCUUCUUAAUGUCGGUGGUGUGCUGGGCAAGAGGGGGUUUAGCUUGGGAGAGAUCUGGAGGAGGAACUGGCGGCGGCGGCGGGGGAGACGGCAACUGGUGCGGGAGGUGGUGGUGGGGAAACCAACUGGUCACGUUGGGGUAGCCCUAGAUACCGUCGCCACGAACCUAGAGCCGCAGCGGAGGGAACUAUGCGGAGACUACACGCUCCAGUAACAGCGGAGGGAGGGAAGCUGUGGUGGUGGUCUUGACCAGCUGCUACAGCCAGCGGAGGUAGAGAAGAAAUGUCAGGUAGUGCGGCUGCUCGUAUCCGGGGGUGGUACCGAAGGAGGUGCGGUUGCCGCUCGCACCACAGGGUAGAGAUAACACGACCAUGUUAUGAAAGGAGUCUAGGCAGAACCACCUUUGGGCUACGUCCACGAUAAUCACUUGCCUAACCUCUGACCUAGAUCGUCACCAACCAAACAAGCUCCUUAAGAACCACGAGUACUAAUCAUUUCCCAAAGUCGGUCCCGUUCAUUAAUAGUCGACUCUUUUCCGAUGUUCUACGAUCCUCUUCAAACUUACCUCCGUCUCUCAUGUGAUCCUUUAUCUUACCUUUUUCCUUCUCUUCCGUUACGACUUCGUGUUCUCGCUCUCCGAUCGCCUUCAAUUUCGUUAUAUGAUAUUCGUAAAACUUACUAAUCCCGGAGCACAACAACCCUUGUAAUGUUGGUACCCCUUUCGAUUAAAACCAACGAUCAAAUCGUAUCUUCGGUGACAUACGAGUAAAACGAGCACACAGCGUAGGUUUUUGUAUACAUUAAAAGGAAGACAACGUGUUGUGGGAAUAUAUACCCACAAAGAUCUUUGUAUACAUAAACCAGCAAUUAAAAUAACUUACUUCAAUUCAAAAUGCUACUCCAGGUAUACACUUAAUACUUUAUAACAGUAAACAGAACUAAAGGAUCUUUUUA